RNAcentral lists this ribosomal RNA (381 nucleotides) under uncultured bacterium. RNAcentral's name for it is "bacterial SSU rRNA". It matches the Rfam family "Bacterial small subunit ribosomal RNA", at positions 28 to 426 of the family's 1533-position model. The record is from RNAcentral.
GACGAACGCUGGCGGCGUGCUUAACACAUGCAAGUCGAGCGAACCUUCGGGUUAGCGGCGAACGGGUGAGUAACACGUGGGCAACCUGCCCCGAGCUCUGGGAUAACCCCGGGAAACCGGGGCUAAUACCGGAUAUGACAUCGAGAGACAUCUGUCGAUGUGGAAAGUUUUCGGCUCGGGAUGGGCCCGCGGCCUAUCAGCUUGUUGGUGGGGUAACGGCCUACCAAGGCGACGACGGGUAGCCGGCCUGAGAAGGCGACCGGCCACACUGGGACUGAGACACGGCCCAGACUCCUACGGGAGGCAGCAGUGGGGAAUAUUGCGCAAUGGGCGAAAGCCUGACGCAGCGACGCCGCGUGAGGGAUGAAGGCCUUCGGUUGU